This 2181-nucleotide unclassified non-coding RNA is filed under the name Drosophila yakuba. RNAcentral's name for it is "GE17110". The record is from RNAcentral. Lineage: Eukaryota; Metazoa; Arthropoda; Insecta; Diptera; Drosophilidae.
AAUUGCGAUGCCUGGACUUGUGGUCUUCAGACGUCGCUGGUCUGUGGGCUCCGAUGAUCUCGUGGUGCCGGGCGCAUUUCUCCUGACGAUUCAUUUUAUAUGUUUUGUGAUUGUUAGCGUCUCGUUGGUUAUCUUUGAGUAUAAUACACGAAUUUUAAGCGUAAAAUUAUUGUUCUAUCAUCUAAUAGGCUACUUGUUGAUACUAUUUUUUUCAAUAUGUGUAGAAAUAGGUAUAUGUGUGAUCUCGAUGCGUGGCAGCAUUUUGGAUGCCGAGGCGCGCACCUCAAUCAACAUCUGGAUAUAUCUCAAGAGCCUGGUAAUCCUGUUCGAUAUUGCCUGGCUGGCGGUGGGCUCCGUUUGGCUGGGGCAUUACUACACCACUGCACCCAUCGAUGAUCCCAAAAAGGUCUACAUAGCAAUUAUCAUCUGCAAUUGGGCCCUGGUGGUGAUCACCCUCAUUACGAUAUGGUGCACCUUCGAUGCUGCCGGCAGAUCCUGGGUAAAGAUGAAGAAGUACCAGCGAUCCAUGCGCGAAACGGAGUCGCGCUUUAACUAUAAGCGGAGCAACAGUAUGAACCGCAACUGGCGGCAAAGGAAAGUGAUGCGUGCCUACCAGGACAGUUGGGAUCAUCGCUGCCGCCUGCUGUUCUGCUGCAUGGGCUCCUCGGAGCGUAACCGGAACUCGUUUACGGACAUUGCCCGCCUGCUGAGCGACUUCUUUCGGGAGCUGGACGUGGUGCCAUCGGAUGUGGUGGCGGGAUUAGUACUGCUACGCAAGUUUCAGCGUCUUGAACGCGAGGCCAUUGUGCGGCAGCGCAAGAAUGGCACCUACGAGUUCCUCAGCGGCGUACCGAUCACGGAGCGGACCCAGUUCCUAGCACUCAACGAUGCCAAAAACUAUGACUUCUUUCAAACGGUCAUCCACUACAUGUACUUUGCCCAGGGCGCUUACGGCUGGCCCAUGUACGUCAUCAUCAAUCGCAGCAAGAUGUGGCACUUGGUGCCGGAACUGAAAUGCUUUGGCUGCUGUUGCGGCACAAGUGAUGAUACGGAGGUGAUCCAAGACAAUUGCUGCCUGUGCAACUAUGCGGCGCUAAAGAAGACGCUACAGCUGGGCGACAUCGAUAUCGUUUAUGCCACCUAUCACGUGGACGUGGGCGAGACGCCAUUCUUUGUGGCCAUCGAUUACACGCACCGAUCGGUUGUGAUCAGCAUACGUGGUACACUUAGCAUGAAGGACAUCCUUACGGAUCUGAAUGCCGAGGGUGAAGUGUUGCCGCUGCAGCCGCCGCGUGACGAUUGGCUGGGCCACAAGGGGAUGGUGCAAGCGGCGAUCUACAUACGCAACAAGCUGCAGGAGGAGAACCUAAUCGAGCGGGCACUGCAACGGAAUCCGGACCGCCAGACGCACACCUUUGACCUGGUGCUGGUGGGCCAUUCGCUGGGCGCUGGCACAGCGGCCAUACUCGCCAUUCUCCUAAAGCCCGAGCAUCCCACGCUCCAGUGCUUCAGUUACUCGCCGCCAGGAGGUCUGCUCAGUAUGCCCGCCGUGGAGUACUCAAAGUCGUUCAUCACCUCGGUGGUCCUGGGCAAGGACGUAGUGCCGCGCAUCGGUCUCAAUCAAAUGGAGGCCCUGCGAGCCGAUCUUAUCAAUGCGAUUCAGCGCAGCGUGGAUCCCAAGUGGAAGACCAUUUCCUGUUCGGUCAUCUGCUGUGGCUGUGGACCCGAGCCCACUUCCGUGGUCAACAUGUCCGGCCAGGACACGCACAUUAAUCAGUACCAGGAGGAGCGCGGCACUGCACGUUCGACCAGCGCUCAUCCGACGGACAGCUCGAUAGCUUUAACCCUGCACCAGCCCUUAUAUCCGCCCGGUCGCAUCAUUCACAUUGUGCGGCACCAUCCCAAGCCCGACGAGCAAAAAUACGACAGUGGUUGGAGGUAGGCACACACACACACACACAACACCCACAUCCACAUCGACACACAUAUAUGUACACACGCACACAGCUACAAAGCGCAUCGCACACAGAUGCAGAUACGAGCACACACGCAUCCAAAAGAUUGAAAGAUGAAGAGCUUGAGCAGCGCCGCCAAAUGUUCUAAAGAAUCGGGAGCCCGUUUACCAGGCCAUCUGGGCCGACUCCACGGACUUCGAUGAGGUGCUCAUCUCGCCGGUGAUGC